Non-coding RNA from Danio rerio (zebrafish), 718 nucleotides. Lineage: Eukaryota; Metazoa; Chordata; Actinopteri; Cypriniformes; Danionidae. The record is from Ensembl.
GGUUCAUUGCGAUCCCAAGGUUCACUGCGGUUUUCCACAAGCCUGUUUCUGCCUAUCAUCAUGAGUGAUUCCUCAAUACUCAGAUUUAUCAUCAAGAUCUCAAUUAUAAGCUCAAGUUUUGAUGACAACUUGGUGAUCUGCAGAAAGCACCACCAUGUAAGGAAGGCCAAGACCACUCUGGAAUCAGUCAAGGGUGAAAUGGAGUGAGGCAUACCAGGAUAUGCCUGGUUUUACUUUUGGAAAGGAGGUUGAACAGUGCAAUAUUUCUUCUAUAGGAUUGCAGUGACCAGACAUGCUACUGUAACUCUCAUGGUCAUGUGCUGGAAUUAGCAGAUAUUCAACAAUUUGGCCAUCUCGCUGACCUGUUGAUAUCAGAAGACCGCAACAGCUCUGCAAAGCAAGUUGGAAAACAGAAUCCAUGAAACUGGCAGUGACUGGAAACCAGUUGGAAGACUUUGGUCUGUGAUGUAGAGGAGUGGGCAGAGGCAGAAGCAAAGACAACAAAAAGAAGAAGUGAUGUGGAUGUCUUCGUCAUAUUGCAUGACUCUGCUGACCCAGCAACAAAGAGGAGGGUGUUCAACAUCAUCCUGCUAGUCAGGAUUCUUCAGGAGAAGCAGUGGAUUCUUGUGGCAGAGAUGGCCAACCACUAUAAAUACCUUUCAACUCAUCCUGGUUCUUUCAAAUAACUUUCCUGCUUGUUUGCUACUGAAAAGUACUG